Molecule: long non-coding RNA, 335 nt
Organism: Beta vulgaris subsp. vulgaris (sugar beet)
Lineage: Eukaryota; Viridiplantae; Streptophyta; Magnoliopsida; Caryophyllales; Amaranthaceae
Exons: 2
Source: RefSeq, a predicted model, not a curated record
CUGCUGCUUUGUGCGUGGAGUUCGUCGAUGCUCCACCGCUGGGUACCGAAGCUUCGAAACCCCCCCUUUAUCCCUUUGUUCUUCGCUGCUCAUGUUGAGCAGAGAGUCAAACAUUGUUGCAGGUUUGGUGUUGUGAGCUCAGGACUUUGAAGUGAAGCAAGAUAAAGAUGUCGUCGUAGCUUAUGGAUUGAGUUUGUAUUUUAGAUAGUCAAUUAAGGAAUAGUUUCUGAUAUAUUUCGUUGUAUACAAUAUUUGAGAAUAUUAGUCGAGAUAUCGGUGUAAUUGAAGUCUUAUAUAAAGGAUUUUUUUUGUGGGCCCAUAACCCACAGGUUUCA